AAAAAUUAAAAUUAAAAUACUAAAAUAAUAAAUAAGUUUUUAUUGAAAAUUAAAUAAUUUGGCGGUAUUUUAGUUCAUUUAGAGGAAUCUGUUUAAUAAUUGAUAUUCCACGAAUAAAUUUACUUAAUUUUUUAAUUUUGUAUAUCGUUGUUAAAAAAAUAUUUUUUAAUAAAAUUAAUAUUUUAAAAUUAAAAUAUAAAUUUUAAAUCAGAUCAAGAUGCAGAUUAUAAUUAAGAAUAUAAUGGAUUACAAUAAAUUUAUUUAAAUGGAUUUUAAUUUGUAAUAAAUUAAUUGAAGGUGGAUUUAAAUGUAAUUUUAUUUAAUUUAAUAAAAUGAUUAAAAAUUGAAAUAUGU
RNAcentral lists this ribosomal RNA (354 nucleotides) under Acrapex sp. ACTAG6565. RNAcentral describes it as "partial 12S small subunit ribosomal RNA". The record is from RNAcentral. Lineage: Eukaryota; Metazoa; Arthropoda; Insecta; Lepidoptera; Noctuidae.